UUGAAUCGAUCACUCAGCUUUAAAUUGCUUUAAUCGCAGAAUCUAUUUUACGACAGUGCUGAGACAACAACUAUGUGGCUUGCCAACAAAUAUCAACACAGAAAACCACUUCCUGACAGAAAUGCACCUUAUGUAGCUCAUGCCUGGAAACACAAUAUAGACAAACGUGCUCGUAUUACCUCAGAUGGAUUUCUCAACUGGGCCAGUCAUUCUGUAACUCUCCUUCUCACUCGGGACCUGAGCCCUAGGACCAUGCCCCAGGACUACCUGACAUGAUGACUCCUUGCUGUCCCCAGUCCACCUGGCCAUGCUGCUGCUCCAGUUUCAACUGGCCUGGGCCCUAGGACCAUGUCCCAGGACUACCUGACAUGAUGACUCCUUGCUGUCCCCAGUCCACCUGGCCAUGCUGCUGCUCCAGUUUCAACUGUUCUGCCUUACUAUUAUUCAACCAUGCUGGUCAUUUAUGAACAUUUGAACAUCUUGGCCACGUUCUGUUAUAAUCUCCACCCGGCACAGCCAGAAGAGGACUGGCCACCCCACAUAUGCUCUCUCUAAUUCUCUCUUUCUUUCUCUCUCUCUCGGAGGACCUGAGCCCUAGGACCGUGCCCCAGGACUACCUGACAUGAUGACUCCUUGCUGUCCCCAGUCCACCUGACUGUGCUGCUGCUCCAGUUUCAACUGUUCUGCCUUAUUAUUAUUCGACCAUGCUGGUCAUUUAUGAACAUUUGAACAUCUUGGUCAUGUUCUGUUAUAAUCUCUACCCGGCACAGCCAGAAGAGGACUGGCCACCCCACAUAGCCUGGUUCCUCUCUAGGUUUCUUCCUAGGUUUUGGCCUUUCUAGGGAGUUUUUCCUAGCCACCGUGCUUUUACACCUGCAUUGUUUGCUGUUUGGGGUCUUAGGCUGGGUUUCUGUACAGCACUUUGAGAUAUCAGCUGAUGUACGAAGGGCUAUAUAAAUAAAUUUGAUUUGAUUUGAUUUGAACACGCCACACCCUGAUAAGGGCCUGCUCUCUGUGAUGAAGCCAUAUUAGCUAUGUGAUUUAUUUGCUCUCUAUUUGAUGAAUGGGUCACAUUCCAG
Long non-coding RNA from Oncorhynchus nerka (sockeye salmon), 1079 nucleotides. RefSeq lists it as uncharacterized. Lineage: Eukaryota; Metazoa; Chordata; Actinopteri; Salmoniformes; Salmonidae. The transcript is spliced from 2 exons. The record is from RefSeq and is a predicted model, not a curated record.